This 406-nucleotide ribosomal RNA is filed under the name uncultured bacterium. Its description in RNAcentral is "partial 16S ribosomal RNA". It matches the Rfam family "Bacterial small subunit ribosomal RNA", at positions 30 to 526 of the family's 1533-position model. The record is from RNAcentral.
AUUGAACGCUGGCGGCAGGCCUAACACAUGCAAGUCGAACGAGGGGCGGGCGGGUGAGUAAUGUCUGGGAAACUGCCUGAUGGGGGGGGAUAACUACUGGAACCGGUAGCUAAUACCGCAUACCAUCAGCUGAGCCCAGAUGGGAUUCGCUUGUUGGUGGGGUAACGGCUCACCAAGGCGACGAUCCCUAGCUGGUCUGAGAGGAGGACCAGCCACACUGGAACUGAGACACGGUCCAGACUCCUACGGGAGGCAGCAGUGGGGAAUAUUGCACAAUGGGCGAAAGCCUGAUGCAGCCAUGCCGCGUGUAUGAAGAAGGCCUUCGGUUUGUAAAGUACUUUCAGCGGGGAGGCGUUACCCGCAGAAGAAGCACCGGCUAACUCCGUGCCAGCAGCCGCGGUAAUUC